UAUGUUAGCCAAAGUUUCCAGAUUAUAUUUGUUAAUAAUCUGAAGUAGAAUAAUUUUGGAUAUUUUAAGUAAUUUUCUCGAUUUUAAAAUCGAUUAGUUUACGAAAGGACCUAAAUGGUCAAUUUUGAAAAGUUUGAGGAUAUUUUAGUAUUUUAACCAAAAGAGGAAUUUAAGCCAAUAAGGGGCUGUUUUAAUUAUCUUAUGGAAUGGUUAGACCCAAUAUUGAAAGUAAAUCCGAAUUUUAAUAAUUAAAAUAUUAUUAAUUAGUUCGGUAAUUAAUGGAAUAAGGGUAAUGUGAUAAAAGGGAAAUAUGGUAAUUUGAUUAGUUUAGUGAAACUAAUUAAAGAGAUAAAAAAAAAAGAAUUAUUUGUGAUUAAUUAUGAAAGGCCAUAGAUGUGGAAUGAACCUUGAAUUUAUUUCAAGUGUUUUCCUGAAUCGAACCCAAUAGAGUAGGUUCGUAAUUCUCGAAUAGUCGAGAAUGAGAAGGAAUUGUGAAUCGGUUACGUUGAAAUAACGACCGAAAAUGAUAGUGUUUUGUGAAAAGUUUUUAAUGUGAUGAUUGUUUGUAUACGAUAUGAUAUCGUAUUUAUGUGGCUACGUGUUUAGAGGUCGGUAAUAGAUUUAGAAUUCUAUUUUGAAAUCGACUUAACACGAUUCCUGAAUAUAGAUGUGACGGAAAGUCAACUAUUGACGGAUCAAAUUGAAGGAGCACCGGUUGGAAUAGACCGAGUGGCUAAUAGUGGAUCAUCGUGGCGUAUUUAAUUAUUUAUGGAGCGACAGUCUGAAUAUUGCCUGUGUCUGGACAAGACUUCAUCUUUUUGAUUCUUGAAGUCUUCAUUUUGCGUAUAUGGUAAUUGGUCUUAUUUUGAUCUGUAGAGCUGCAGUAGAAUAGAUAGACAGACGCCUUAGCAUGUCAGUAUUUGCGAUGUCUGCCACGCAUGAACUCUGUUUUGUUUUCAUCGCACGAUUAUAAUAUAUUUUAACGACAUGCAUUAAGGUAAUGGAAAAUAGUUGCAACCCGGGUACACGGUAGUACCGGGAGUUUUGAGAUACAGUGUAAAGGAAACUGUACGCAACUAUGUUAUGUGUAUAAUAUGGGGCCCAGCGUGGCUAUAUGCAUGAUUGCAUAUUAUCGGUUUUGUAAAAGACGGUAUUUGAGGAAUACGCGUUAAAACGAUAACCAGUAAUUGAAAAGUAACGGUUUUAAUUUAA
Long non-coding RNA from Mercurialis annua (annual mercury), 1212 nucleotides. RefSeq lists it as uncharacterized. The record is from RefSeq and is a predicted model, not a curated record. NCBI's taxonomy places the organism in Eukaryota, Viridiplantae, Streptophyta, Magnoliopsida, Malpighiales, Euphorbiaceae. The transcript is spliced from 2 exons.